Molecule: ribosomal RNA, 480 nt
Filed under: uncultured bacterium
Lineage: Bacteria
Description: bacterial SSU rRNA
Rfam family: Bacterial small subunit ribosomal RNA
Source: RNAcentral
UUGAACGCUGGCGGAAUGCUUUACACAUGCAAGUCGAACGGUAACAGGCCGCAAGGUGCUGACGAGUGGCGAACGGGUGAGUAAUGCAUCGGAACGUGCCCAGUCGUGGGGGAUAACGCAGCGAAAGCUGUGCUAAUACCGCAUACGAUCUAAGGAUGAAAGCGGGGGACCGAAAGGCCUCGCGCGAUUGGAGCGGCCGAUGUCAGAUUAGCUAGUUGGUGGGGUAAAGGCCUACCAAGGCGACGAUCCGUAGCUGGUCUGAGAGGAUGAUCAGCCACACUGGGACUGAGACACGGCCCAGACUCCUACGGGAGGCAGCAGUGGGGAAUUUUGGACAAUGGGCGCAAGCCUGAUCCAGCCAUGCCGCGUGAGUGAAGAAGGCCUUCGGGUUGUAAAGCUCUUUCAGACGGAAAGAAAUCGGGCGCGUGAAUAGCGUGCCUGGAUGACGGUACUGUCAGAAGAAGCACCGGCUAACUACGU